GCAUCGGUCGUUCAGUGGUAAAAUGUUCGUUUGCGAGGCGGUCGGUCCGAGUUCGAUUCACGUCCGAUGCA
This 71-nucleotide transfer RNA is filed under the name Dracunculus medinensis (Guinea worm). It matches the Rfam family "tRNA". From Rfam's summary of the family: Transfer RNA (tRNA) molecules are approximately 80 nucleotides in length. Their secondary structure includes four short double-helical elements and three loops (D, anti-codon, and T loops). The record is from Rfam by way of RNAcentral. Lineage: Eukaryota; Metazoa; Nematoda; Chromadorea; Rhabditida; Dracunculidae.